This 274-nucleotide ribosomal RNA is filed under the name uncultured bacterium. Its description in RNAcentral is "partial 16S ribosomal RNA". It matches the Rfam family "Bacterial small subunit ribosomal RNA", at positions 523 to 796 of the family's 1533-position model. The record is from RNAcentral.
ACACGUAGGGGGCAAGCGUUGUCCGGAUUUAUUGGGCGUAAAGAGCUCGUAGGUGGCUGAGUAAGUCGGAUGUUAAAUCUCCAGGCUCCACCUGGAACACCAUCCGAUACUGCUCUGGCUAGAGUCCGGUAGGGGAGUGUGGAAUUCCUGGUGUAGCGGUGAAAUGCGCAGAUAUCAGGAGGAACACCAGCGGCAAAGGCGGCACUCUGGGCCGGUACUGACACUGAGGAGCGAAAGCAUGGGUAGCAAACAGGAUUAGAAACCCUAGUAGUCC